This 865-nucleotide long non-coding RNA is filed under the name Nicotiana benthamiana. RNAcentral describes it as "long non-coding RNA (NBEN_LNC021763)". The record is from RNAcentral. Lineage: Eukaryota; Viridiplantae; Streptophyta; Magnoliopsida; Solanales; Solanaceae.
CAAGAUUCGCUAUAUUCAAAUGCCCUUAAUACCCCUGUCCCUUUUCCUAAUUACUGGCCUAAGUGUUUUAAACCCUGGUUCCUAUCUAUUUGGUCAGAAUAUGACCCUAGUUAACUACCUCAAUUCAUAAACCAAGAUUAUUAUUAUCAACUAGUAUCAAAUUUUGAAAAGGUAGUCAUGGCCAAUUGUUUAAUUGCAGAUUUAUACCAUAUUAUGCAAAACAAAUGACCUAGGGCCAUGAUUUAAUCAAUGCAACACACACAUUCAAGCAAAUAUCACACUACAAAACUGAAUUUGUCAGAAACAUAUGCAGAGCUAAACAACAACUAAGCAAUUUUAGACCCAAUAUGACAAAUUCUGAGCUCAAAGGAUAAUUCAAACAAGUCAACAAAAACAGGCUAUGACUUCAAAUGUUAAGUAGAACAUUCAGAAACAAGUUAUACAAAAAAAACAAGCAAGGAAGCAAAUACUCAGGAUAUUUCAAAGAUGAGCAAAUCAAAACUUAGCGUAUUUAAACAAAUGCAAGUAAAGAAGAUCAAGAUGAAUUAGAAAAGAGAACCAGGACAAGUAUAUGACUCUAGAUGAAAACACCUACCUAGAAUUUUUCAAAGGUGAACAGAUAGAAAAACAUAAUAUACUUAAACAAGUAACAAUGAAGAAGAUCAAAAGCAAAAGAAGACAAGGACGAGCAUAUGAUCCUUGAUGGAAGCAAGUACUCAGAACAUUUCGAAGAUGAAAAGAUAGAAAACAAAUGAACUUAAACAAGUAACAAUAAAGAAGGUCUAAAUCAAAAGAAGACAAGGAUGAGCAUAUGAUUACUCAGAACAUUUUGAAGAUGAACAGAUAAAAACCAAUGAACUUAAAC